AGCAGCCGCGGUAAUUCCAGCUCCAAUAGCGUAUAUUAAAGUUGUUGCAGUUAAAAAGCUCGUAGUUGAAUUUCGGAAUCUGUCCGUUGGUCGGGCUUCAUUGUCCGUACUGAUGUGAUGGGUUCUUACCUUCUGAAUAACCAGCAUGUCAUUAAUUUGGUGUGUUGGGGAAGCAGGACUAUUACCUUAGAAAAAAUUAGAGUGCUACAAAGCAGGCUAGUGCCUGAAUACAUUAGCAUGGAAUAAUAAAAUAGGACGGCAUGGUUCUAUUUUGUUGGUUUCUAGGAUCACCGUAAUGAUUAAUAGGGAUAGUUGGGGGCAUUAGUAUUCAAUUGUCAGAGGUGAAAUUCUUGGAUUUAUUGAAGACUAACUUCUGCGAAAGCAUUUGCCAAGGAUGUUUUCAUUAAUCAAGAACGAAAGUUAGGGGAUCGAAGACGAUCAGAUACCGUCGUAGUCUUAACCAUAAACUAUAGCCGACUAGGGAUUCGGACGAUGUUAAUUUUAUAAUGACUCGUUAC
RNAcentral lists this ribosomal RNA (518 nucleotides) under uncultured Acaulospora. Its description in RNAcentral is "SSU rRNA". It matches the Rfam family "Eukaryotic small subunit ribosomal RNA", at positions 569 to 1086 of the family's 1831-position model. The record is from RNAcentral. Lineage: Eukaryota; Fungi; Glomeromycota; Glomeromycetes; Diversisporales; Acaulosporaceae.